CUCUCUAUGUUACAAUUUGAAAGUCUUAUAUAGACUUCGAGGAAAAGAUUAAGUUGAUCUCAAUCGUUCAUAAUCAACGGUCAUCUUUAAAGAUUCCUUUUGGCUUUUGCUUUUUUUUUAAGAGGCAGGUGUCUUUGUCUUCCUUUUCGAAGGGGCAAAUGUCAUUGUCUUCUUUUCUCUCCGAGGCAAAUGUCAUUAUCUUCUUUUCCGAAGGGGCAAAUGUCGUUGUCUUCUUUUCCGAAGAGUCAAGUGUCAUUGUCUUCCUUUUCUGAAAGGGUAAGAAACUGUUUAUCUGCUAGAGUGGGCAUAGGUUUGGGCUAUCCCGUCUCAAUCUUCCAUAUCUCCAUUUUUUCUGCUUUCUGCAAAGGAUGAACUUGAAACAGCUUCUAACAUAGCUUGUACUUGCGUCGGGUCUGCUGACUCAAUGUUUGCUAACAUUCCGAGCAGUUUUUUCUUUAACUCAUUCUGAGAGUUACUUGAUUCUGUUCUGAUUGGUUUGGAUUUCUUGGCUGCAGUAUAUUUCAGGAAUCCAACCUUUGAUUUUAGGCGUUUUUACUAAGUAUUUGAUCCGUUCAAUUUGUUCUAUAUCGAAUGACCAAUUAAUAAUAAAAGAUAUUCUUUUUGCAAAGUAAUAUUUGCAUAAUUUUAUGUGAUCUGGGAGAGAGGAGAUUUCAUUUUCUGUUUGGAAGCUCCUGGGCAUCGUCUGCUCUGUUCCNNNNNNNNNNNNNNNNNNNNNNNNNNNNNNNNNNNNNNNNNNNNNNNNNNNNNNNNNNNNNNNNNNNNNNNNNNNNNNNNNNNNNNNNNNNNNNNNNNNNNNNNNNNNNNNNNNNNNNNNNNNNNNNNNNNNNNNNNNNNNNNNNNNNNNNNNNNNNNNNNNNNNNNNNNNNNNNNNNNNNNNNNNNNNNNNNNNNNNNNNNNNNNNNNNNNNNNNNNNNNNNNNNNNNNNNNNNNNNNNNNNNNNNNNNNNNNNNNNNNNNNNNNNNNNNNNNNNNNNNNNNNNNNNNNNNNNNNNNNNNNNNNNNNNNNNNNNNNNNNNNNNNNNNNNNNNNNNNNNNNNNNNNNNNNNNNNNNNNNCAGAUUGAAAUCGCCCAUUUCUCUCUUCUUAUGUUUUCCCUCUCUUCUCUGUAAAAAAUCCGUUCUAUAUGUUUUCAAUGUUCAAAAAAGAAGUAAGUUUUCUUAACUUGUUAUUUAUAAUUCCGCAUUUUCAAUUAUAUCUUUUAGAUCCGUAAAUUGUUCUCUCCGAGGCAAAUGUCAUUAUCUUCUUUUCCAAAGAGGCAAAUGUCGUUGUCUUCUUUUCCGAAGAGUCAAGUGUCAUUGUCUUCCUUUUCUGAAAGGGUAAGAAACUGUUUAUCUGCUAGAGUAAGCAUAGGCUUGGGCUAUCCCGUCUAAAUCUUCCAUAUCUCUAUUUUUUCUGCUUUUUGCAGAGGAUGAACUUGAAACAACUUCUAACAUAGCUUGUACUUGCGUCGGGUCUGCUGACUCAAUGUUUGCUAACAUUUCGAGCAUUUUUUUCUUUAACUCAUUCUGAGAGUUACUUGAUUCUGUUCUGAUUGGUUUGGAUUUCUUGGCUUCUUUGAUUUCAGGAAUCCAACCUUUGACUUUAGGCGUUUUUACUAAGUAUUUGAUCCGUUCAAUUUGUUCUAUAUCGAAUGACCAAUUAAUAAUAAAAGAUAUUCUUUUUGCAAAGUAAUAUUUGCAUAAUUUUAUGUGAUCUGGGAGAGAGGAGAUUUCAUUUUCUGUUUGGAAGCUCCUGGGCAUCGUCUGCUCUGUUCCUUCAAAUAUUUUCCAUCAGUCAUAAAACCAUCUGGGUAGGAUUGAUUUUUGGGCUUGUUCGCUAUAUUUGACAACCAGGUGUGUGUUUUUGGACGUAGGUAUAGGAAGUUAAACCAAGCAUCCAUAUAGUCUUUGAAAUUAUAGGUUUGGGGCUUAUAUUGGACUGAUAACACAAUCGGUGUGUGUAGGUGAUCCAUUCCCCAUUCAAACGGGCUUAUUACCCUAUUGAUGGUAAUCCAUUCCCCAUUCAAAAGGGCUUAUUACCCUAUUGACGGUAAACUUUGAGAUUCUAAUACUAGUUGGGUCUUUAUCGCUGUAAAGAGUGUUCGAAUGUAACAGAUCUUGUAUCUGUUAAGAUUAACUCAUAAUACCUCCUUGUUUUUAGAGGGUUACCGGUGUCAACGUAAUUCCUGUCUGUGUAACAGGGUCUGAUUAGGUUCGCAAGGUCAUAAUUCUCAUACCCUUUGUCUAGGGCCAAAACCUUAGCUGGUUCUUUUGCAAUUAAUUCGAAUGUCUCUUUUCUGAGGAAACAGGUCUUUUUUCUUCUGCUUUAACCGGUGUGUAGGGGUUAACUGCUUGGGCGAAGGAUUAUGGGACCUUCAUUGCAUAGUCGGCACUAGUCAGUACCUUUCCUGCUUGGCUUGUUGAGGCUUUCGAAGAAGCCUGUUGAAACAGACCAUCCUUUUUGGGAAUGGAUCCGAGCACUGUCAUGGUAGUAGGCUUGUUUGUAGUGGGUACUCUCGGAGGGGUAACCAUUAUAUUUAGUGGUGGCCUUACGGUUGGUAAUAACGGAAAUUCUGCAAGGGCAGAAUAUCUAUUCUCUCUUUUGGGAGAGGCCCUGAACGGACCCUUCUGGUUUGGACUCAUUUUUCCCCUGUAGAAAUUCUCUAGUUAGAAAAUCGGGUAAAGAGUUAUUUUCUCCUUUUACAAAUUCGAUUUCAAAAUUGAAGCUGGAUAAUAGUGCUUGCCAUCUGGCAAAAAUUUGUUUUGAAAUAGGAUUUUUAACAUCCUUUUGUAAAAUCUCUUUAGCUGAUUUACAGUCAACUCUUAAUAAAAAUUCUUUGUUUAUUAAAUCAUUUUGAAAUUUUGUAAUACAUAGUACUAUAGAUAAAAUUUUCUUUUUAACUGUACUAUAAUUCCUUUGAGCUGGAUUCCAGAUAUCAGAAGUGAAACGAACUAACUGUUUGGGAGACUUUAAAGAAAUUCGUUGUUUAAGAAUUCCACCAUACCCUUAAUCAGAAGCGUCGGUUUCUACUAUCAUAAACGCUUCAGGAUUUGGAAUACCUAGACAUGGGAGUUUUUGAACAAUGGACUUGAUUUUCUUGACUGUAUCAGUUUGUUCUAGACUCCAAGGGACUGGAUUCUUCCUAAGGCGUUUGUAAAGCGGUUCGCAGAUUUUUCUAAUAUUAGGAAUAAAAUCUGCUACAUAAUUGAGGCUUUCUAAGAAACUUUGUAGUUGUGUUUUGUCUAUGAUUUCAUCGGGAAAUUUGGAUGAGAACUCAAUGGCUCUACAGAUUUGUUUGUAAGUACCCCGAUAAAGGUCAUGUCCUAAAAAUCUAAUAGUUGUUUGAAACAACUUGAUUUUCUUAGCGCUGACUACUAGACCGUUGUGUUUUACUAUCUUAAAGAAAGUAUUGAGAUGUUUAAAAUGAUAAUCUAUAUCUUCUGAGGAUAUUAACACAUCGUUAAUAUAAACUAUUGACAUAUUACUGUAGGGAUUAAAUAUAUUGUUCAUUAUGUUUUGAAAUUCAGAUGAGGCAUUUUUUAACCCAAACGACAUUGCAUUCCAUUCGUAUUGUCCAAAUGGGACACUGAAGGCAAUUUUUAUAUUUAUCUUUUUCAGUAAUUUGUAUUUGCCAGAAACCUGAUUUCAUAUCAAAUUUACUAUAAAUAUUAGCUUUGUAAGUCCUUUUUAAUAAAUCUCUUUUAUUAGAUAUCGGGUACCUAAUCCAUUGUAACACUUUAUUUAAAGGUUUGUAAUUAAUAACUAGUCUAGGAGCUCCUCUUUUCUUUCUCUGCGUUAUUGUUAACGUAGAAGGCUGCACAGCUCCACGGUGACUUAGAAGGUCUAAUAAUCUUCUUUUGGAGAAGAUCAUUUAUUUCCUUUUUACAGACUUCCAUUAAGUCAUAAUUCAUUUGAAUAGGUCUUGCCUUAGUAGGUAUAGCCUGUUCGUUAAUUCUUUAAUAUAAGGCAGGUUAACUAUGUGCCUUUUUUGUUCCCAAAAGGUUGUAGGUAAAUCGGAACAAACUUCUAGUUCGAGUUUUUGUUGAAACUGUUUAAUCUUAUCUUCUACCUCCGGGGUUUUUAAAGUUUGUUCUAUUUUAUGAACUUUAAUAUCAUUUUUUAAGUAAUUAACUUGCUUAGUGAGCAAAUUUAUCUUAAAGAUUGUUUGUGAUUUAAUAUAAUCACUUUCUUCUUUAGAGAUAGAAUUUAGGUAAGGAAAUCUUAUUUCUUUUCCUAAUACUGUGGUACAAAGUGCACUUAAGUCAUCGUAAUGUGGCUUUAUUUGAGCCAGGAAAGGAAUUCCGAGAAUUAUUUCUUCACUUGUAUCUCUUGUUAUUACAAAAUCAUUAAUAAAGCAUAUUCCGUCGUUACAGAUAUGUGCUUUUGAUAAUUUGUAAUUUAUUUUUAAUAGUUCUCCUAUGACAGAGUAUAAUUUUUGUGUACUUUUUUCUAAGUACUUUAAUAGCAUUAUUCCUUCCAUUAUGCAGUUCUUAUCUGCACCUGAGUCUAAUAAUGCUAAUUUAGUAAAGGUCAUAUCCUGGACCUUUAAUGUUAUAGGAAGAUGAUAACUUUUAGCUUUUACUUUAGUGAGUUUAACUAGUGCGGCUGAACCACCUUCAGAUUCUUUGAUAACUAAAUCAUUAUCGUUUAAUUUUGAAGUGUUACCUUCUUCUUUUUCUACAUCUUCAUCUUCUUCUUUUGAGAAGAAUUCGCUAUUAAUUGCUUUUCCUUUAUCAACUUGAGAUAAUAUUCUAUCAGUAAUAUUUUCUAUUUCAAUUUUAUUAAGUCGAAGCUCAAUAUCUUUUAAUUAUUCUUUUACUAAUUUAAGUUCAGUUUGAAGAUGUUGGAUAGUAGUAGGUUCUUCUGCUUUUACAGAAAAUCUAUUCAUUACUUUCUUCAUGUCAAAAGGUUCUAUCUGCGGUCGAUUUUCCUUUUGUUUAAUGAUAAUGUUUUUUAUAAUUCAAUUAAAUAUUUUCUUUUUAAUUCAUCAUCUAUGUGCUCAAUAAUGUCGAAUAAGACUUCCUUGGAGUCUUCUGUAAUUACUCUGAGGGAAUUUUGACUACAUACGCAGAUUGCGCUAGUACAGUUACAGCUAUCUUCUAUUGAGUUGUUGUUGUCUGAGUCAUAUGCGACAUUGAUUAAUUCAUUGUCGCUGUCAGAGUAACUAUCUGUGGAUGCUGAUGAAAUGUUAUCAUUAUCUUCUAGAAUUGCGUAAAGCUUUUCUUUAAUAUUUUCAUCUAAUUCAAGAGUGUUAACUUUACUCUUUUUCUUUUUAGUAACUUUGCACUCACUGGCUCUGUGUCCUAUUUUUCCACAAGACCAACAUUUGUCUCCAUAAUCCCUUUUAGAUUUUCUUUUAAACCUUUUCCUUUAUAAGUUCCCUCUUCUUUCUUUUCUUUACGCUUAUGGCAUUUUUUAGGUUUAUCAGAAGAUCUAUGUUUCUUUGACGCUCUUUUUGAUGGAGCGGCUAUUGAUUUAUAACCGAAAUCUUGGCAAAAACUACCAAGUUCCUUUUUAGAUUGUAAUCUAUCUUUUUUAAUAAGACUUUUAAGUUUUAGGUCAGUACAUAAGUCUAGACCUGUAACAUUAAUAAAACUUAUUAAAUCUUCAUACGUAAGAUUGUCAUAUGGGAUUUGACCAUUAAAUCUAUCUUUAAUUUUAGUUCUUACCAUUUCGGCAAAUAAUCUGGGUAAUCCGCUAAUAAAUAUUUCUUUCCAGAAAGGUUUACCGCAAUCUUCUCUGACCAUUACUUUUUCUAUGAACAUAUCUUUAUACCACCUAAAAUAUGUUAAUUUUGGGCAGUUAAGAUUAUUGAGAAGUUCAAGACUUCUAUCUUGAAAUAGUUUUGGUUCACCAAUAAAAUGUUUGGCUAUACAGUAGAUUAGAGUUGCAGUACCAUCUUCUCUAGAUUCUUGUUCUGCUACUUGCGUAUUAUUUUCAGUUUUUACUACAGUCAUUACUGUUGUGGCAUUUAGGAUUUGAUUCCUAUUUUCUUCGGAGAGAUAAUUAUCCCACCAAUUUUUUAAUAUACCAGUAAAGCCUGACACUAUUAAGGUUGUUGCGUGUUUGUCUGGCGCAUUUUUUAUUUUGUAGGCGGUUACCGAAAUUCCUAUUUCGUGGAGCUUUUUGUAAAUUUGGCUUUCAGCUAAACCAUCAAUAUUCCAUUCUGAAAUUCCAGUUCCAUCAUGACUGAAAUGGGAUAGAUAGAUAUCUUCUUCGAAUUGAACAUCUGGAAAUGAUGCUCUUUUGUAAUAAUUCUUUUUAUUAGAAUGUCUGGGAUCAUUCAUGAUUCUACUUAUUUCAGGAUUAGUAAUAGAGAUGGUUUUUAGAGUAACUAAAGGUUUUAUUUUAUUUAUAGAAUCUACAAGCUCUUUAGAGGCCUUUUCUAUCAUUUUUAGUUUAGUUUCUUUAUCAGGGAAGUUUUCUUCCUUUAUCAGAGUUUCAUAUUUAUAAUUUAAUGAAGCUAACUGUGUUUGUAAUUUAUAGAGUUCAAUGGUUUUAUCUUUGCUAGUACUAGCUUGUUUCGUAUUAGGCUUUGAGAUACUUAAUUUUGUUUUAAGUUGUUCUUCUAUUUUUUCUAGAAGUUCAUUCGUAAAAUCGAAUUUUUCUCUUAAUUGUGGAAAUUUUUCUUUAGAAAAUUCAGGGAUUUUGAUAGUAGGAUGUGUUUCAAUAGUAGGUGCUACUAUCGUUUUAGUAGAAGUUCCUAUUUUGUUAGUAUCUUUUAACUGAUUAGAUACAACAUGUAAAAGGUUAUAUGUAUAGUUAUUUUGGACUAUUAUUUUGUUUAGAUCUUUGUUUGUUGGUUCUUUAUCAAGGUAGGUACUUUCUCUUUUAAAAGGGGAAGUUGUGACUACUUGAUUUUGAACAGGUAUUAUGAUUUCUUCUAAUGUUGGAAUAGUGGCUUCUAUUGUACCUUUAUUUUUGGUAUACCAUUUAUUGAUUAUCAUUUGUAAAGAUCCCUUUUGAUUUGGGAUCUGUCCUGUUAAUUCGAACCAUCUAAAGAAUUCAAUAUCGCAUUUAAGUCUUUUUAAGUCCUUAAUCUAUUUAUUUCUAAAAGAUCUUCUCUGAUCUAAAGAAUAGGUGUUUAUAUACCAUUUUCUUUUAAUGUUAUUAUCAGGGUGUUCCCAUGAGCGUUUAGACUAUUCCAUUCUAUUUGGAAGUUAUUUUCUUCUUUAAUGACUCCUAUUUGGUCAAUUGUUUCAGCGGAUUUACUUCUAGGGACAAACGGACCCUUUUGAUAGAUUACUGUAGGAACAGUUUUGUUAAAAUUUACUCAUUGUAUUUUUCUAUCAAGUUCUUCAAUUAACCCUUCGUCGCUUUUAUUGCUUUUACUAUUUCCCUCCGGGGGUUUGAAAGAUGAAGAUCUGCUAAAGGACAUUCUUCUACUAGAAGAGGCUUUGUUUAUAGAGUUAGAUCUUAAAAAUUUUAAGUCAAUAGCUCUUGUUGGAUGUUGAAUAACUUGUUCGAUAUAUGAACUUUCUGGUUCAUAUCUUGGUUGAGUUAUGGCUUCAAAACGCCAUUCAUCUUUUGAUAAUAUCUCGUCUCAUCGAAUCAUUCUAGGGACGAAGGUAUUACUACGUUCUUGAUUUGCUUCCAUGAGCAUAGUAACUCCUUUACUACUUUCAAUCUUAGCUUUUGGAGCUAAAGUAGUUUUCAUUAGCCUGUAAUAUACUCUGUAUAUUAUUGUUAUCUCUCUUGUGUUAAUUUUACUAUUCAUGUUUUUUGUUUUAAUAUUAAGAUUCAGAGUAUCUAAAAUAUUCUGGUCAUUUAUAUCAACCGAAUAAUUUGGAUAGCAAUUAAAGUAAACUGGGCCCUGGGCUAAGUUACUUUGUAGGACUCCUAAUAAUGAAUCGUCAAAAUUUAACAGUUUAUCAUCUCUUAGUAAUAGACAGAGAGGUGUGUCUAAACCUAGUCUGUAUAAAGGUUUGACAGCUACUUGGACCAGUCCGAUAUGGAGGAAAUUAUAUUUUCUCUUGUACUGCUGUAUAUCAUGUGCUGCUAAUAACUUAAUUGUUUCAAUUAAGUUAUUAAUAGCAAUUGUUGAUUUACAAGUUUUGAUGUUAUAGUUUUUAAUAAAAUCAAACUUGCUGGUAUGAUAUAUAGUGUUAAAGGAUUCUCUAGGAAUACUCCAAUUUUGUAAAUCAUUUUCUAUUUUGGCAAUAUUAGUUACUGCCGAGAUAUUAGCGCUAUUUAGAAUUUUAUUCUUUUCAGAAUUAAUCAUUCUAAUACUGAGAUGUGUACCUGUUGAUACAGAUAGUUAUUGUUUUUAUAUUUUUCAAAAUUAUUCUUUUUUGAUGUUGAUGAUUCUCAAGAUUAUCUCUAUAAAAAUCAAUCUCUCUUUCUAUUGUUAAUAAAGCUUUAUUUCGCAGGUUAUUAUUUCUGGUUAUAGAUUUGCAAACUCUAAUAUUGUGUUCAACACAAUCUAUCUUUCUAUUUGUGUUUCGGAGAUGUUUCAGAGAUCUCCAUUUUUUAUUAUUAAGAAUCUUAUAUAAUAAAAAGUUCUAUGUUUUAUUAUUAAGUUGUUUUAAGACCUUUUUAAAAGUUAAGGGAGAGGUAAAUUGUCCUUAAGGUUUUUACUCUCUUUGUUAUCUUAAUUCAAGACUAUUUAUCUUAAUAGUUCUCUACUGUUCUUAACAGUAUAUUGUUUACUGUUUAUCUUCUUUUUUUUCUUUCUAUAUGAUCUACUUCUUAAGUUAUCUUAGCAGUGUUUUCAGUUCUAAGUUAUCUUGGGGGUUGGGAGUUGAACGUGUUCACUGUGUCCUGUCUAACUGCGGCUCUCCUAGCCUGUAACGACGACGACAACUGACGGCAGCUUAAUAGGGUUCAACUAACUCUCUCUCAGAGACCCUCACACUAUGAACUGGAAAUUUAGCCUCACACUGAAGAAUAAGAUCAUGAAGAUAUAACGAAGAUAAAUGACAAACAUAUACUGGAAUGAACAGUAUAGAACAAUUAAGAUCUAUAGCAUGAAACUGAUAACAAGAUUUUAAUUAACCUUAAAGACAAUAUGAAAGUUUAGCCUUUCAUACUAUUAACUAACAUGUUUAACUUGGCUCUGAUACCAAUUUACGGAUCUAAAAGAUAUAAUUGAAAAAAUAAUUCUCGGAAUUCCUUUCCUGACUCAAAUAAAGCCACAUUACGAUGACUUAAGUGCACUUUGCACCACAGUAUUAGGAAAAGAAAUAAGAUUUCCUUACCUAAAUCUUAUCUCUAAAGAAGAAAAUGAUUAUAUUAAAUUACAAACAAUCUUUAAGAUAAAUUUGCUCACUAAGCAAGUUAAUUACUUAAAAAAUGAUAUUAAAGUUCAUAAAAUAGAACAAACUUUAAGCUAGCCAAAAAAGAAGAAGAGUAUAUCCAUUUUAUAUUUGUGAAACUUUUGUAUGAUCGAGUUUCUAUUUAUCUUUUUUCAUGCCAUAAUCUGGUUAGUUACUCCGUGAACUUUUUUUUUUGGAUAAAUUACUUUACAAGUUAUGCACUAAAAAGGGAUGGAUGAUUUAGUAAAUAAUUUCUUAAACCAUUUUUUGGGAGAAGAGACAGAUAGAGGUAACUGUCAAACAUAUAAAAAAAAACUACCUCUUGCAACGGUAAAGUUGUCUCCAUAUAACCUAUAGGUACGGGUUCGAGCCAUGGAAGCAACUAUUAAUGCUUGCAUUAGGGUAGACUGUCUACAUCACACCCUUGAGGCGCGGACCUUCGCCGGACCUUGCGUAAACACGGGAUGCUUUGUGCACCAGGCUACCCUUUACCUCUUUCAUAGUUUAAUGAGAAUCAAGAAGCUUUAUGAUGUUUAUAAAGGUUGUUUUUUGCUUUAGCUAUAAGCAUGUGACCUGUUUAGCAUCAAAUUUGUGGUUAUUCGUAGAAAUAUUAGCCCUAAUGUGGAUGGGUAAGGCCAUAUAUAAAAAUUUUGUAUACAUGAUAAACUACUGAGAUCUUAGUUUCUCAAGUAUAGUAAUCCUUCUAGGUUCAUCAACUGAAUGAGUUUCUUAGUUGGACAUUUAAGUCUAAACCUUUCAUAGUGUUAAGUCCCAUAUUAAUUGACGAAGUCAGUUGUGGCCUCCUUAUUGUGGUCCGGGAUAAUUCUCCCUCAUGAGCUAACUUUUAGAGUUGGGUUAGACCCAAGGUUCAUUUCUAACAUGGUAUCAGAUUCAAACUCAUCUAUCCCUGUUGUUGUGUUGCACGCAUCAAUUGUCCAGUCCUAGCGUGCGAGGGGGUGUUAAGUCCCACAUUAGUAUCUGUGAAAAUAGCACGGGCUAGCCAGUUUUCGGAUUGAUCAUUGAAAAAUAGCCAGCAUUUGCAAAGUCAUUAAAAAAUAGCCACUAUUUUGCUGCAACACGGAAAGUUCUAGCAUAAUAUAUUGGAGAUUGGUGCACCUGUGUAGCUGUGUAUGAACUUCUAGCAUAUUAUGAUGGAACUCCAACACACGAAAAGCUCCAGCAUAAUAUACUGGAGAUUGGAGCACAUGUGUAUGAACUUCCAGUAUAUUAUGCUAGACCAGUAUAUUAUGCUGAAAUAUUUUCUGAAUUUUGAAUAGUGUUUUCGUUCAGAUUUAUCUUUACAUGAAAAGUGGCUAAAUUUCGAUACUUUUGAAAUUGUGGCUAUUUUUCAAUUACCACUUGUAAAUCUGGUUAUUUUUGAAUUUCACCCUUAGUAUCCUGAAUAGGUGUUAAUCUCCUUAUAUGGUCUUGGAAAUCUUCCCAUCAUGAGCUAGCUUUUGGGAUUAAAUUAGAUCUAAUAUCCAUUUUUUCACACUUCAAAAUUAAAGCAAGAAUUAUAUCCUGAAAGGAAGAGAUCAUUUAUGUAGGAACAAAGUUUCAUUUUGAUUAGGUUUUAUAAAAUUGUAAUCUAAGAGAGGAAAAAACAAGAUAAAAGGGAAUAAGGAAAAGUGGCAACGUAAAUCCCCCUUUACUUCUUUUAUCUUUAUCUUACAUGAAAUUGAUGCUUAUGAUUUGCUAAACUGUUGGUUUGGACUGGUUAAAAACUGUGUUGGAGGUGUCGAGAUGUAGAACGGGAACUUGGGAAUGAAUGGAAGGUAGUUGGGAUGGUGUGAACAGCUGAAGCAAUGUGUUAAUUGUUGCCUUAACGCUGUUUGCUUGCCAGGUCUGGUGACAGCAAGCUUAACCGCGAUCACAGGGCAUUGGCCGCGAUGCGGCCAAGCAUGAUUCUCUGGAGCAGUGUUUCAAGUACAAAAAGAUAAUGUGGAUUGCAAGAGGUUAGUCGAGCCUAGAUUAGAAUAACACGGACCUCGAUUGCAACACAUGCACCGCAAUAGUGAUUGACCUUCACUCUUUGACCCCAGACGUAGCUAACAGUUUCAUCUAUUCCAAAUAUGCUUAUCAGAUCUGAAAUGAACUUAACGAACGAUGUGGUCAGUCAAAUGAGGCAUGAACUUAUCCAGUUCAAAAAGGAACUCAGUAUGCUAUCUGAGGGAUCCUGUGAUAUUGAACUUAUUAAGUUGUGGGAUGAGUUAGACUCUCUAAACAGUAAUUCUUGUUGCAGCUGUGAUUGUCAAUAUGAUGGAAAGGUAAAAACGAUUAAGGACAAGGAAACUCUGAAACUUAAUCAGUUCUUAAUUGGCCUUAAUGACUCUUAUAGUGGUACCAUAAGAAACAUAACUAUGAUGAAACCUACACCUAACAUCGGUCAAACUUGUUCUCUCCUACUUCAAGAUGAAAAAUCUGAAUCCAGACUCUUUCACACCAUGUUCCUGAAUCAGCUUCUUUCUCUGCUGGUUCCUCAUCAGAAGGGCAGACAUAUCCUCCCAAAACAAAUUUCUCUAGUCACAAAGAAGUCUAAUAAUUACUGCAAGAAACCAGGCCAUACCAUUGAUAAAUACAAUAGAUUCCAUGGUUUGAGAAUGAUUCCUUAGGAGUCGUUUGGUACGCAGGAUUAGGUAGGAUAAAAUAUAGGAUUAAAUUAUACUGUGUUUGGUUGGCGGUAUAAAUUUAUCCCGGGAUCCCUUAGUGUUUAAUAAUUUUCACAAAGUUGGUAAAUUGAUUGAGAUAUGGUGGGAUCAACAAGUCAUGGAUAGUAAAUGUACUCAACACUUCUUAAAAUGUUAAAUUUAAUUUAGAGUUAUGGGAAGAAGAUUGGAAAUUAAAUUUGGAGUAAACAAGUGCUACUUGACUAUCCGUUUUUGGAUCCAACACUGGUAUCUCUUCCUAAUUAGUAGCCAAGUAUAAUCUAAAUAUUUUAUCAUGUGAUUAAGUGCUCAAUUGGAACAUGCCUUUGUUUGAGUGUCUAAAUGAAAUAUGUACGAGCAAAUUCAAGGGGAUGUUAAUGUAUUCUGCCUUCUCUGGAGGAAUAUAUGGAUAAUCGUUCAAGUUAGUACUCCCUCUGUUUCAAUUUAGAUGACACACUUUCCUUAUUAGUCCGUUCCAAAAAAAUGAUACAUUUCUACACUUUCUUUAUUAGUCCAUUCCAUGAUAAUUCAAUUUUAGUAAGAAUUAUCUAUUUAAAAACUCAGUGAGCUCCUUUACGAUUUCCUAUUUUCGAAUGUGUUCGCUUGCUGGUACUCUACUCGACUUUCCAUCUCUCUUGUCAUCUCCGCUAACUUUUUUGGGUCACCGCCCAUUGAUUAAUUGUGACACCACUUAUGAGAAAUUCCGUGUACGUACUACCUGCAUUUUUGUAAGAGGUUGUUUCCACUGCUUUGAGCUCCUGAUCACAUAGAGGCAACUUUACCAGUUACGUCAAGGCUCCCACUAUGGGCGGGGUUCAGGGAAGAGCGGGACCACAAAGGUCUAUUAUAUGUAGUCUUGUACAACAUUUUUGCAAGAAGUUGUUUCCACUAGUCGAAUCGGUGACCUCUUGGUCAAAUGGCAUCAACUUUACCAGUUACAUCAAGGCUCCCGAUGGGUCCGAGAAAGGGCGGGACCACAAGGUCUAUUAUUGACAGUCUUACCCUACAUUUUUUGCUAGAGGCAGUUUUCAAUGUUCGAAUCCGUGACCUUGGUCAUGCGUCAGUAACUUUACUAGUUAAACUAACGCUCCCCUUCUUAAUAUUUAGAUUUAAUAUGUAUAAAUAUUGUAUGACGUACCGAUGAGUUGUUUGCUUCCCCUUUAUCUUUUGCUCCUCCAUUUUCUUUUCCUCUUUCCAUGUAUGCAAUUUUCACUAGUCAAGCCAAAGUUCAAGUUUUCAAGUCUGAUGUAUAAAAGGUACACAAACCUUUAUUAGGAGAAGUAGAAAAACAAGAACAGAAGAAACUGAAGAAAGAAACAUAUAUAAAGCAUAUAGCAGGAAACAAUUUACUGCAGAUAUAGCCAGACUUACCUUUUGACCACUUAAAGUUGAGCAAAUCGGCCAAAGGUUGUUGCUGUUAGAACCUCUUAAUUGAGAAAAUUAGGUGAAGACAGUAAGCGCUGGGACUCAGAAAGAAAGAUCUGUGAGAGAGAAG
This 13392-nucleotide long non-coding RNA is filed under the name Nicotiana tabacum (common tobacco). Its description in RNAcentral is "long non-coding RNA (NTAB_LNC015059)". The record is from RNAcentral. Lineage: Eukaryota; Viridiplantae; Streptophyta; Magnoliopsida; Solanales; Solanaceae.